AACGAACGCUGGCGGCAUGCCUAACACAUGCAAGUCGAACGAGACCUUCGGGUCUAGUGGCGCACGGGUGCGUAACGCGUGGGAACCUGCCUUUAGGUUCGGAAUAACUCAGAGAAAUUUGAGCUAAUACCGGAUGAUGUCUUCGGACCAAAGAUUUAUCGCCUUUAGAUGGGCCCGCGUUGGAUUAGCUAGUUGGUGGGGUAAAGGCCUACCAAGGCGACGAUCCAUAGCUGGUAUGAGAGGAUGAUCAGCCACACUGGGACUGAGACACGGCCCAGACUCCUACGGGAGGCAGCAGUGGGGAAUAUUGGACAAUGGGCGAAAGCCUGAUCCAGCAAUGCCGCGUGAGUGAUGAAGGCCUUAGGGUUGUAAAGCUCUUUUACCCGAGAUGAUAAUGACAGAAUCGGGAGAAUAAGCUCCGGCUAACUCCGU
Molecule: ribosomal RNA, 432 nt
Filed under: uncultured bacterium
Lineage: Bacteria
Description: partial 16S ribosomal RNA
Rfam family: Bacterial small subunit ribosomal RNA
Source: RNAcentral